RNAcentral lists this transfer RNA (74 nucleotides) under Scleropages formosus (Asian bonytongue). Its description in RNAcentral is "tRNA-Thr". Lineage: Eukaryota; Metazoa; Chordata; Actinopteri; Osteoglossiformes; Osteoglossidae. The record is from RNAcentral.
CAGCAGGUGGCGUAAUGGUUAGAGCUAUCAACUUGUGAUUGAGGGACACGGGUUCGAAUUCCCACUCCUGCUCU